RNAcentral lists this ribosomal RNA (492 nucleotides) under uncultured bacterium. RNAcentral's name for it is "partial 16S ribosomal RNA". It matches the Rfam family "Bacterial small subunit ribosomal RNA", at positions 29 to 507 of the family's 1533-position model. The record is from RNAcentral.
AGUGAACGCUGGCGGUAGGCCUAACACAUGCAAGUCGAACGGCAGCACAGUAAUAGCUUGCUCUUACGGGUGGCGAGUGGCGGACGUGUCAGGAAUACAUCGGAACCUCCUUUUUCGUGGGGGAUCACGUAGGGAAACUUACGCUAAUACCGCAUCCGACCUACGGGUGAAAGCAUGGGAUCUUCGGACCUUGCGCGAUUGAAUUAGCCGAUGUCGGAUUAGCUAGUUGGCGGGGUAAAGGCCCACCAAGGCGACGAUCCGUAGCUGGUCUGAGAGGAUGAUCGCCCACACUGGAACUGAGCCACCGUCCAGGCGCCUACGGGAGGCAGCAGUUGCGAAUAUGCGACAAUAGGCGCAAGUCUGAUCCAGCCAUACCGCGUGGGUGAAGGAGGCCCUCGGGUUGUGAAGCCGUUCUUUUGGGAAAGAAAAGCUGCAGGUUCAGACCCCGCUUUUCUGACGGUACCGAAUGAAUAAGCACCGGCUAACUUCGUG